CAAGGUUUCCGUAGGUGAACCUGCGGAAGGAUCAUUAACAUAAUAUUCUUACACACUGUUUUUUUACAACAAAACAAACAUAUCUAAUCUAUAAAUCUACGUUUUAAAAUUCUUAAAACUUUCAACAACGGAUCUCUUGGUUCUCGCAUCGAUGAAGAACGCAGCGAAAUGCGAUACGUAAUACGAAUCGCAGCUCUCGGAAUCAUCGAAUCUUUGAACGCACAUUGCACCAUUGGGUAUUCCCAAUGGUAUGCUUGUUUGAGCGAAUACUUCCCUAAUCCUCACGGAUUGUAUUGUGUUUGCACGAAAAUAAUGACGACAGUACUCUACAAAACGGUACCGUCAGUACGCUCAUUUUUUUUUCCUCAAAUCAAGUAGGACUACCCGCUGAACUUAAGCAUAUCAAUAAGCGGAGGAAAAGAAACC
Molecule: ribosomal RNA, 426 nt
Filed under: Kodamaea ohmeri
Lineage: Eukaryota; Fungi; Ascomycota; Pichiomycetes; Serinales; Debaryomycetaceae
Description: eukaryotic LSU rRNA
Rfam family: 5.8S ribosomal RNA (bases 117-268)
Source: RNAcentral